RNAcentral lists this ribosomal RNA (285 nucleotides) under Triticum aestivum (bread wheat). RNAcentral's name for it is "partial small subunit ribosomal RNA". The record is from RNAcentral. Lineage: Eukaryota; Viridiplantae; Streptophyta; Magnoliopsida; Poales; Poaceae.
AUGUCACCCUCCGAGGACACCUCACUUCCCUUCAAGCUUAAGAGAAAGCAGUUCCCUAUCCGCGUGAGUUUUGUGAUGACCAUUAACAAGGCACAGGGCCAAACCAUCCCAAAUGUUGGUAUUUACCUUCCAGAACCUGUUUUCUCACAUGGCCAACUAUAUGUUGCAUUGUCAAGGGGUGUCUCAAGAAAGACGACGCGGAUUAUAGCCAAGCCUAACAAGGAGGUUGAUAAAUCUGGAAGAAGCACCAAAAACAUUGUCUACAGAGAUGUUUUAGAGGGGUGA